Molecule: long non-coding RNA, 601 nt
Organism: Megalobrama amblycephala (Wuchang bream)
Lineage: Eukaryota; Metazoa; Chordata; Actinopteri; Cypriniformes; Xenocyprididae
Exons: 3
Source: RefSeq, a predicted model, not a curated record
AAUCCCAUCAGCCACCAGACUCAACAUCUGGACAUCACUCAACUCUGUCACACAUGUUCAGUCCACUGUUGUGGUCCUACUGAAGCUGUGAUCCGAUUGGUCCUCUCUGCUCUGGUGGGCGUGGCUACUGUCAUUCUUGUGCUUUAUCACAUCAGAUCCAGAAGAGCUGAAGGAGAUCAAGCACAUAUUCACACAUCAGGAAGUGCUUAAAUCUGAAGCAGAACGCUGAACUUUAAAGGUUCUUCAAGUGUGUUUUUGUCAUAAUAAAUACUGAUGAUUAUUUGAGCUUCUCUUUCAGUGUCAGAUUUGUAAAACUCUUAUUUGUAAGGCUUUAUUGUUUAUAUUUCUCUCAGAGACACACAGAUCUCACUUUACUACUACUGCUGUAUAUUUGUCAUGUGUAUUUUACACUGUUGUUGAUGAUCAAAUUAAAAUAGCAUCUUUUUAAUGUGUCUGACGGAGUUGACACAAAUUAAGUUCUGAAGUACAUUUUUAGAAGAAAACAUUUUCAGAAAAACCUGUUCAUUAGCUGAGACCUUUGUCUACAAAUAUAUCAGUUUAUAAUAAUGUGUUAUGAAAUAAUAAAAACUAACAUCUCAAA